Molecule: ribosomal RNA, 1129 nt
Filed under: Plasmodium falciparum (malaria parasite P. falciparum)
Lineage: Eukaryota; Apicomplexa; Aconoidasida; Haemosporida; Plasmodiidae
Description: partial 18S ribosomal RNA
Rfam family: Eukaryotic small subunit ribosomal RNA
Source: RNAcentral
UUAAAAUUGUUGCAGUUAAAACGUUCGUAGUUGAAUAUUAAAGAAUCCGAUGUUUCAUUUAAACUGGUUUGGGAAAACCAAAUAUAUUAUAUAUUUUGCUUUGUUCAAAAUAAGGUUUUCUAAUAAAUUAUGUUUUUAUCAGAUAUGACAGAAUCUUUUUUAAAAUCUCUUCAAUAUGCUUUUAUUGCUUUUGAGAGGUUUUGUUACUUUGAGUAAAAUUAAGUGUUCAUAACAGACGGGUAGUCAUGAUUGAGUUCAUUGUGUUUGAAUACUACAGCAUGGAAUAACAAAUAUGAAUAAGCUAAUUAUUUUUUUUUUUCAUAAUUUUUUUUGAUAUUCUUAUUAGCUUAGUUACGAUUAAUAGGAGUAGCUUUGGGGGCAUUCGUAUUCAGAUGUCAGAGGUGAAAUUCUAAGAUUUUCUGGAGACGGACUACUGCGAAAGCAUUUGCCUAAUCUAUUUCCAUUAAUCAAGAACGAAAGUUAAGGGAGUGAAGACGAUCAGAUACCGUCGUAAUCUUAACCAUAAACUAUACCGACUAGGUGUUGGAUGAAUAUAAAAAAUAUAUAAAUAUGUAGCAUUUCUUAGGGAAUGUUGAUUUUAUAUUAGAAUUGCUUCCUUCAGUACCUUAUGAGAAAUCAAAGUCUUUGGGUUCUGGGGCGAGUAUUCGCGCAAGCGAGAAAGUUAAAAGAAUUGACGGAAGGGCACCACCAGGCGUGGAGCUUGCGGCUUAAUUUGACUCAACACGGGAAAACUCACUAGUUUAAGACAAGAGUAGGAUUGACAGAUUAAUAGCUCUUUCUUGAUUUCUUGGAUGGUGAUGCAUGGCCGUUUUUAGUUCGUGAAUAUGAUUUGUCUGGUUAAUUCCGAUAACGAACGAGAUCUUAACCUGCUAAUUAGCGGUAAGUACACUAUAUUUUUAUUUGAAAUUGAAUAUAGGUAAUUAUACAUGUUUAUUCAGUGUUCAAAUUAGGAUAUUUUUUUAUUAAAAUAUUCUUUUCCCUGUUCUACUAUAAUAAUUUGUUUUUUACUCUAUUUCUCUCUUCUUUUAAGAAUGUACUUGUUUGAUUAAAUAAAGCUUCUUAGAGGAACAGUGUGUAUCUAACACAAGGAAGUUUAAGGCAACAACAG